MGGAWUCACGGAUCCAGAGUUUGAUUAUGGCUCAGGAUGAACGCUAGCUACAGGCUUAACACAUGCAAGUCGAGGGGCAGCAUGGUCUUAGCUUGCUAAGGCUGAUGGCGACCGGCGCACGGGUGAGUAACACGUAUCCAACCUGCCGUCUACUCUUGGCCAGCCUUCUGAAAGGAAGAUUAAUCCAGGAUGGCAUCAUAAGUUCACAUGUCCGCAUGAUUAAAGGUAUUUUCCGGUAGACGAUGGGGAUGCGUUCCAUUAGAUAGUAGGCGGGGUAACGGCCCACCUAGUCAACGAUGGAUAGGGGUUCUGAGAGGAAGGUCCCCCACAUUGGAACUGAGACACGGUCCAAACUCCUACGGGAGGCAGCAGUGAGGAAUAUUGGUCAAUGGGCGAUGGCCUGAACCAGCCAAGUAGCGUGAAGGAUGACUGCCCUAUGGGUUGUAAACUUCUUUUAUAAAGGAAUAAAGUCGGGUAUGCAUACCCGUUUGCAUGUACUUUAUGAAUAAGGAUCGGCUAACUCCGUGCCAGCAGCCGCGGUAAUACGGAGGAUCCGAGCGUUAUCCGGAUUUAUUGGGUUUAAAGGGAGCGUAGAUGGAUGUUUAAGUCAGUUGUGAAAGUUUGCGGCUCAACCGUAAAAUUGCAGUUGAUACUGGAUGUCUUGAGUGCAGUUGAGGCAGGCGGAAUUCGUGGUGUAGCGGUGAAAUGCUUAGAUAUCACGAAGAACUCCGAUUGCGAAGGCAGCCUGCUAAGCUGCAACUGACAUUGAGGCUCGAAAGUGUGGGUAUCAAACAGGAUUAGAUACCCUGGUAGUCCACACGGUAAACGAUGAAUACUCGCUGUUUGCGAUAUACGGCAAGCGGCCAAGCGAAASKAUAAGUAUUCCACCUGGGGAGUACGCCGGCAACGGUGAAACUCAAAGGAAUUGACGGGGGCCSCACAAGCGAGGAACAUGUGGUUUAAUUCGAUGAUACGCGAGGAACYUAMCCGGGCUUAAAUUGCACUCSAAUGAUCCGGAAACGGUUCAGCUAGCAAUAGCGAGUGUAGAAGGUGCUGCAUGGUUGKYSUBCACYUCGUSCGUGAAGUKKUCKGBYUAAGUKC
Molecule: ribosomal RNA, 1101 nt
Filed under: uncultured bacterium (human infant) L13dG
Lineage: Bacteria
Description: bacterial SSU rRNA
Rfam family: Bacterial small subunit ribosomal RNA
Source: RNAcentral